Molecule: ribosomal RNA, 302 nt
Filed under: uncultured bacterium
Lineage: Bacteria
Description: partial 16S ribosomal RNA
Rfam family: Bacterial small subunit ribosomal RNA
Source: RNAcentral
GCAGCAGCCGCGGUAAUACGGAGGGUGCAAGCGUUAAUCGGAAUUACUGGGCGUAAAGCGCACGCAGGCGGUCUGUCAAGUCAGAUGUGAAAUCCCCGGGCUUAACCUGGGAACUGCAUUUGAAACUGGCAGGCUAGAGUCUUGUAGAGGGGGGUAGAAUUCCAGGUGUAGCGGUGAAAUGCGUAGAGAUCUGGAGGAAUACCGGUGGCGAAGGCGGCCCCCUGGACAAAGACUGACGCUCAGGUGCGAAAGCGUGGGGAGCAAACAGGAUUAGAUACCCCUGUAGUCCCUGUCUCUUAUAC